This 801-nucleotide ribosomal RNA is filed under the name uncultured bacterium. RNAcentral describes it as "bacterial SSU rRNA". It matches the Rfam family "Bacterial small subunit ribosomal RNA", at positions 64 to 834 of the family's 1533-position model. The record is from RNAcentral.
CGACGAACUUCUUUAUCACCGAGUGCUUGCACUCACCGAUAAAGAGUUGAGUGGCGAACGGGUGAGUAACACGUGGGCAACCUGCCCAAAAGAGGGGGAUAACACUUGGAAACAGGUGCUAAUACCGCAUAACCAUAGUUACCGCAUGGUAACUAUGUAAAAGGUGGCUAUGCUACCGCUUUUGGAUGGGCCCGCGACGCAUUAGCUAGUUGGUGGGGUAAAGGCUUACCAAGGCAAUGAUGCGUAGCCGAACUGAGAGGUUGAUCGGCCACAUUGGGACUGAGACACGGCCCAAACUCCUACGGGAGGCAGCAGUAGGGAAUCUUCCACAAUGGGCGAAAGCCUGAUGGAGCAACGCCGCGUGGGUGAAGAAGGUCUUCGGAUCGUAAACCCUGUUGUUAGAGAAGAAAGUGCGUGAGAGUAACUGUUCACGUUUCGACGGUAUCUAACCAGAAAGCCACGGCUAACUACGUGCCAGCAGCCGCGGUAAUACGUAGGUGGCAAGCGUUAUCCGGAUUUAUUGGGCGUAAAGAGAACGCAGGCGGUCUUUUAAGUCUGAUGUGAAAGCCUUCGGCUUAACCGGAGUAGUGCAUUGGAAACUGGGAGACUUGAGUGCAGAAGAGGAGAGUGGAACUCCAUGUGUAGCGGUGAAAUGCGUAGAUAUAUGGAAGAACACCAGUGGCGAAAGCGGCUCUCUGGUCUGUAACUGACGCUGAGGUUCGAAAGCGUGGGUAGCAAACAGGAUUAGAUACCCUGGUAGUCCACGCCGUAAACGAUGAAUGCUAAGUGUUGGAGGGUUUC